RNAcentral lists this non-coding RNA (30 nucleotides) under Mus musculus (house mouse). Lineage: Eukaryota; Metazoa; Chordata; Mammalia; Rodentia; Muridae. The record is from RNAcentral.
CUAAAUGUUUAGAGAUUCUCUCUUUGUGCU